Schizosaccharomyces cryophilus OY26 is the source of this 119-nucleotide ribosomal RNA. Lineage: Eukaryota; Fungi; Ascomycota; Schizosaccharomycetes; Schizosaccharomycetales; Schizosaccharomycetaceae. The record is from Rfam.
GUCUACGGCCACACCUAGGCGAAAACACCAGUUCCCGUCCGAUCACUGCAGUUAAGCGUCUGAGGGCCUCGUUAGUACUAUGGUUGGAGACAACAUGGGAAUCCGGGGUGCUGUAGGCU